AAAUUGAAGAGUUUGAUCAUGGCUCAGAUUGAACGCUGGCGGCAGGCCUAACACAUGCAAGUCGAACGGUAACAGGAAACAGCUUGCUGUUUCGCUGACGAGUGGCGGACGGGUGAGUAAUGUCUGGGAAACUG
RNAcentral lists this ribosomal RNA (134 nucleotides) under Escherichia coli. RNAcentral describes it as "partial 16S ribosomal RNA". It matches the Rfam family "Bacterial small subunit ribosomal RNA", at positions 1 to 127 of the family's 1533-position model. The record is from RNAcentral. Lineage: Bacteria; Pseudomonadati; Pseudomonadota; Gammaproteobacteria; Enterobacterales; Enterobacteriaceae. RNAcentral also lists the same sequence under 2 other names.